RNAcentral lists this ribosomal RNA (253 nucleotides) under uncultured bacterium. Its description in RNAcentral is "partial 16S ribosomal RNA". It matches the Rfam family "Bacterial small subunit ribosomal RNA", at positions 524 to 776 of the family's 1533-position model. The record is from RNAcentral.
UACGAAGGGGGCUAGCGUUGCUCGGAAUCACUGGGCGUAAAGCGCACGUAGGCGGAUCUUUAAGUCAGGGGUGAAAUCCUGGAGCUCAACUCCAGAACUGCCUUUGAUACUGGGGAUCUCGAGUCCGGAAGAGGUGAGUGGAACUCCGAGUGUAGAGGUGAAAUUCGUAGAUAUUCGGAAGAACACCAGUGGCGAAGGCGGCUCACUGGUCCGGUACUGACGCUGAGGCGCGAAAGCGUGGGGAGCAAACAGG